UGGUGCUUGCAAGGAAGAGCCUACGGAAAAGUUUAGAGAUGAAGAAGGAGUUAGAAAUUUAGAAAUGAUGAAGAUGAACAUCCGCAGGCGCUUGGAGGAGGCAAAACGUGAGCAACACUACCGGAGAGAAAUUUGCUUACGAGCCCGCGAGCUGAGAUGUGGAAUGGAACAAAAGAAAUAGGUACACUGCAGUGAAGACUACACAGCUAACUUGAAGUUAAAGCAUAAUUUCAUUCCUAAAUAACGAAAUUGAGAUGUAGAUGCUUUAGCCGCUAUUAUCAUAUAUUAUUCUGUGAAA
RNAcentral lists this long non-coding RNA (298 nucleotides) under Pocillopora damicornis (cauliflower coral). RNAcentral's name for it is "uncharacterized LOC113683535, transcript variant X2". The record is from RNAcentral. Lineage: Eukaryota; Metazoa; Cnidaria; Anthozoa; Scleractinia; Pocilloporidae.